Molecule: ribosomal RNA, 468 nt
Filed under: uncultured bacterium
Lineage: Bacteria
Description: partial 16S ribosomal RNA
Rfam family: Bacterial small subunit ribosomal RNA
Source: RNAcentral
GACGAACGCUGGCGGCGUGCUUAACACAUGCAAGUCGAACGGAAAGGCCCUGCUUUUGUGGGGUGCUCGAGUGGCGAACGGGUGAGUAACACGUGAGUAACCUGCCCUUGACUUUGGGAUAACUUCAGGAAACUGGGGCUAAUACCGGAUAGGAGCUCCUGCUGCAUGGUGGGGGUUGGAAAGUUUCGGCGGUUGGGGAUGGACUCGCGGCUUAUCAGCUUGUUGGUGGGGUAGUGGCUUACCAAGGCUUUGACGGGUAGCCGGCCUGAGAGGGUGAACGGCCACAUUGGGGAUGGGAUUAGGCCCAGACUUCUUAGGGAGGCAGCAGUGGGGAAUAUUGCACAAUGGGCGGAAGCCUGAUGCAGCAACGCCGCGUGCGGGAUGACGGCCUUCGGGUUGUAAACCGCUUUCGCCUGUGACGAAGCGUGAGUGACGGUAAUGGGUAAAGAAGCACCGGCUAACUACGUG